Molecule: ribosomal RNA, 253 nt
Filed under: uncultured bacterium
Lineage: Bacteria
Description: partial 16S ribosomal RNA
Rfam family: Bacterial small subunit ribosomal RNA
Source: RNAcentral
UACAGAGGGGGCAAGCGUUGUUCGGAAUUACUGGGCGUAAAGGGCGCGUAGGCGGCCUGUUAAGUCGAACGUGAAAUCCCCGGGCUCAACCCGGGAACUGCGUCCGAUACUGGCAGGCUUGAAUUCGGGAGAGGGAUGCGGAAUUCCAGGUGUAGCGGUGAAAUGCGUAGAUAUCUGGAGGAACACCCGUGGCGAAGGCGGCUCUCUGGGACGGUACUGACGCUGAGACGCGAAAGCGUGGGGAGCGAACAGG